UACAGAGGUGGCAAGCGUUGUUCGGAAUUACUGGGCGUAAAGGGCGCGUAGGCGGCCAUCUAAGUCAGACGUGAAAUCCCCCGGCUUAACCUGGGAACUGCGUCUGAUACUGGACGGCUUGAGUAUGGGAGAGGGAUGUAGAAUUCCAGGUGUAGCGGUGAAAUGCGUAGAUAUCUGGAGGAAUACCGGUGGCGAAGGCGGCAUCCUGGACCGGUAUUGACGCUGAGGCGCGAAAGCCAGGGGAGCAAACGGG
This 253-nucleotide ribosomal RNA is filed under the name uncultured bacterium. RNAcentral's name for it is "partial 16S ribosomal RNA". It matches the Rfam family "Bacterial small subunit ribosomal RNA", at positions 524 to 776 of the family's 1533-position model. The record is from RNAcentral.